UUAACUCAAAUUUGUAUGGAGUUGGAACGCUUGCCUACGUUGUUGUUGUUUGCCGCUAGGGGCGCUGUUCCAACUCCAUACAAAAUUGCGUUA
This is a non-coding RNA of Bombyx mori (domestic silkworm), 93 nucleotides long. The record is from Rfam. NCBI's taxonomy places the organism in Eukaryota, Metazoa, Arthropoda, Insecta, Lepidoptera, Bombycidae.